CAAAACUCACCACAUUUCCAUGCCCCUGAAAUCUUGCUCUCCUGGCAGUAUGUUAAACUGAAGUGAUUCUGAUCCUUGAUGAGACAGAAAAGAAAGGCUCUGAAGUAGUGAAGGACACCACCUGCAUCAUUAAGAAUGGCUACAGUGUGGGCCCAGGCUGCCAACGCAUGAUGAACAAGGAACCCGUUCAGAUUACGAUGGUUACCAUAUCUUUAAGGUAAUCCAAUGCUGCCAGAGGUUGUGUGGGGAAUCCCUGCAUAACUGCACAUCAGUAAUUAAGCCAAGUUCCAGAACAAGUUUCAGAUUUAGGUCUUUGCAAAUGAAAUCCUCCCUCUUUUCUUCUGAAAAGAUUUCUAUAGGCAAAUCUUCAAAUAGGCCUAGCACUGAUAGACCC
RNAcentral lists this long non-coding RNA (394 nucleotides) under Gallus gallus (chicken). The record is from RNAcentral. Lineage: Eukaryota; Metazoa; Chordata; Aves; Galliformes; Phasianidae.